GAGACACUCUUCUGGGGCAAGACUUGCUCCAGUGGGGCUUUGGUGCUCACUGAGUCUGCCCCCUGAGUGUGUCCCU
Non-coding RNA from Myotis brandtii (Brandt's bat), 76 nucleotides. The record is from Rfam. NCBI's taxonomy places the organism in Eukaryota, Metazoa, Chordata, Mammalia, Chiroptera, Vespertilionidae.